GUAAGGAAUAUUGCUCAAUGGGAGAAAUCCUGAAGCAGCAACGCCGCGUGGAGGAUGAAGGGUCUAUGACUUGUAAACUCCUGUAAAGAAGGAAAAAAUUCCCAUUUGAUGGGAGAUGAUGGUACUUCUGGAGUAAGCCCCGGCUAACUACGUGCCAGCAGCCGCGGUAAUACGUAGGGGGCAAGCGUUGUCCGGAUUUACUGGGUGUAAAGGGUGCUCAGGCGGAUUUGUAAGUCAGAGGUGAAAUCUUACAGCUUAACUGUGAAACUGCCUUUGAUACUGCAAGCCUAGAGUAUGGAAGAGAGUGAUGGAAUAUCUGGUGUAGCAGUGAAAUGCGUAGAUAUCAGAUAGAACACCAAUGGCGAAGGCAGUCACUUGGUCAAUUACUGACGCUAAAGCACGAAAGCGUGGGUAGCAAACA
This 421-nucleotide ribosomal RNA is filed under the name uncultured bacterium. Its description in RNAcentral is "bacterial SSU rRNA". It matches the Rfam family "Bacterial small subunit ribosomal RNA", at positions 354 to 774 of the family's 1533-position model. The record is from RNAcentral.